Mirounga angustirostris (Northern elephant seal) is the source of this 6536-nucleotide long non-coding RNA. RefSeq lists it as uncharacterized. NCBI's taxonomy places the organism in Eukaryota, Metazoa, Chordata, Mammalia, Carnivora, Phocidae. The record is from RefSeq and is a predicted model, not a curated record. The transcript has 4 exons.
GCUUAUGCCUCAGAUACUGUGGUAUGUGUUUUACAUAAAUGAUUAAAUGUGGUUCUCACAAUGGCCCUAUGGUCCUAUAUUUUCUCUUUUUUUAGAUGAAGAAAUCGAAGCACAUCCUUGCGGCACCUGGGUGGCUCAGUUGGUUAAGCAUCGACUCUUGGUUUCGGCUCUUGGUUUCAGCCCCAUGAUCCUGGGGUCAUGAGAUGCAGCCCCGCAUGAGGCUCCACACGGCACAUGGAGUCUGCUUAAGAUUCUCUCUUCCCUCUCCCUCUGCCCCCCACCCCCUGCCUGCCCGCUCUCUCUUUAAAAAACAACAACAAAAAAAGCACAUCCAAAGUUUAUACGGCCAGUAAGAGCUGGUAUUUGAGUACAGAACGUGUGCCUGUGACUGGCUCAUGCAUGGAGGUGCUGCCCAGAAGGGUGCACCCAGUUUUGGGAAAGGGGAGGGACUGGCUGGUGUGUGCAGUCUGGUGCCACUGGAAGCAAGAUGGAGGCCCUGGGGAUAUGGAGAGGCACCUGCUGAGAAAUCCGUUUUUCUCUCUUCCUGAAAUACAUGUAAAAUGACUAGAGACUGGGCUUCAGAAAAGGUUGAAUGACUGCCGGGUGCUGACUCCUCACCCAGCUGCCACAGACCCAGCCAAGAGGGGGGGCCUCCAGCAUCUGCCCGGUAGCCGUCUCCUGCUAAGGUGGUGCCCGCUGGGCUCUGUCUCAAGAGUGGAAGUUUUAAAAAAAAAAAAAGAGUGGAAGUUCACUGAAGGUUCAAAAAGGAUGGAAAAGGUGUGAAAUAAUGUGGAGAAUAAAAUUCUGAACGGACUAGAGAAACAUAGGAAGAUGACUGGGAGCUGUUGCUCCAUGGGGUUCCCGCCUCUUUGGCAUUUCCAAGAGUCCCUGGGGGGCAUCUUACAGACACUCAAGGUAAAGUACGGACUGUGCUACUCUGGCCACCGCCGUGCCCCAUCCACUCUGGCCGUCAUUUGCACGGCCUUUGCCCCUUCCUCCUGGCUGCCAACAGCCAGGCCUCAUAGCCACCUUCCAGUGCUGCGUCUCAGGCUAAGUCUCGGUCGCUGUUCAGCUGUGGAUCUGGACCAGAGCAGGAAACUAACUUCCUGUCCUUUAUGUUCUGUUCUGUUACCAUGUGCUCCCAGCUGAGGCCUUCAGGUACCAAGUGGUGUGGGGCAGCUCUCUUUGUUUGCAAAAUACGCUUUUUGGUUCAAAGUGUUCACCUGCUCCUAGAGUAGUUUCUUUUGGGAUGGUGUCAACGGCUACCAUGCUGAGUCCGCUCACUGUGCCAGAUUCCACCUUAAGUAGGUAUCAGUUCUCCUGCUGGGCUCUUUCAUCACCCUGUAGUUUGCCUACUGUCAUUGGCACCUGAGUCAUCAACAUGCCCGUGGACCUUGGAAACUCGUCAGCCCAGCAGCGCCUAACUCCACAUGCCAGAAGUAUCCAGCCAGUACUCCUGCUAUAAAUAUAGGGCAUUUGAUAUAUUUAGUGCAUCUAUGUAAAUUUCAUCAAUUAUGAUCACCUGGAUAUAAGAACUAAUUCACUCAGACUCUGACUGGAAAACUAAAAAAAAACUGAAUUUUUUGUACAACUUAUACUUGAUUUUUAAUACUUUUGCAGUUUGAGAUAAUUGUAAAUUCACAUGCACUUGUACAAAAUAAUCCAGAGAUCCCAUAGACCUUCAUCCAGUUCUCCCCCCAUGAUAACAACUUGUAUAACUAGAGUACAAUAUCACAACUAGCAAAUUGACAUUGAUAUAUCCCAUCAACUGCAUUCAGAUAUCCCCAUUUUCCAUAUAUGUCUGUGUGUCUAUUUAGUGCAAGGCCAUUUUACUGCACACACAGAUUCAUAUGGCCACCAAAAUACAGAAGCGUCCCACCACAAGGAACCUUCAUUGCCAGCCUGCUGAUGCCACCCUGGUGGCAGGUGAGGAGCACCGCCUGCUUCCAACCGGCAGAAAAUGGAAGAUCGGUCCCUCAGUCCCACAAACACGACUGAGCAGACCCAGAGCACCACCCCCUGAUUCUGCAGGGGUGGUGGGUGGGGAGGAUGAUCAGCUCCCUAUUCUGCACCAUUGAAACUAGGGAGAGGGGGAUGCAUUUUUUCCUAUUAGGGCAUUAAUGUUUGGCCAGAGUAGGGCAGGUGGGCAAAAAGGCUUUCCGUGGGGGGGCCACUCCUUUGUCGGUUCUCUGACUAGAAGGAACAGAUUUUUCUCAUAGCUUACUUUAUCCAUGCCUAUUGGCGAUUCCAGGACGGAGGCUACUCCAGCACCCAGCCUGGGCUAUAUGGGAGGAAGUAAGGAAACCUAGACUCAUCACCAUGUUGUUUCUCAAGUCCCAAAGUCGCCAGGCAGUCCACCUUCUUCUUUCCUCCUUUGAAUCUUCCUAUGUUUGUUUGAUAUAUUAUGUCCACAGUUGUAACAGGGAGCACCUGGAAGGAAUAGGGUGCUCCAUCUUGGCUAGAACCAGAGGUCUGAUCUAUACUUGAUUUUUAAGAGAAAUAAAUAGCUAACAGGUAUGCUGAGGCCAACAGUUAACUCAUGUAAGCAACUUUUCAAGAUGUCAUAACUUCAGUCUAGCUCAGUAUUCUCUGUCAAUAUUCUAUGUCUGAUAUGUAGAUGUGUGUGUGUGUGUGUGUGACAAGAAUUUGUGUUCAAAAUGAGAAUAUUCUGUAAAUAACUUCUGAAGCAUCAAGGGCAUUAUCUUCUCUGUAGUUUUGUGUGGGUGUAUUUAGAUGAGUUUAAUUCUCUAAACAAAGGUUGUUUUCCACUGUGUCAGAAACCCAAUACCUAACCAAUCUGGCUAAAAUACAAUACCAAUCUGGCUAAAAGAGAUUUUAUUUCACAUAGGUAUCUUGAAGCAGAGUUAGACGAUUAACCAAAUAUGAAGACAGUUGUUUUUGUUUUUUUUUUUUAAGAUUUUAUUUAUUUAUUUGACAGAGAGAGACACAGCGAGAGAGGGAACACAAGAGGGGGGAGUGGGAGAGGGAGAAGCAGGCCUCCCGCUGACCAGGGAGCCCUAUCCGGGGCUCAAUCCCUGGACCCUGGGAACAUGACCUGAGCCGAAGGUAGAAGCUUAAUGACCGAGCCACCCAGCUGCCCCAAAUAUGAAGACGGUUUUUAAAAACAGCAUCACUGGGGGCACUGGGUGGCUCAGUCGGUUAAGCCUCUGAUUUUAGCUCAGGUCAUGAUCUCAGGGUCCUGGGAUUGAGCCACAUGUUGAACCCAGCGUCAUGCUCCACACUCAGUGGGGAGUCUGCUAGUCCCUCUCCCUCUCCCUUUGCCCUCCCCCAGCUCAUGCUCUUUCUCUUUCUCUCUCUCUCUCUCAAAUAAAUAAAUAAAAUCUUUAAAAAAGUAAAAGUAACACCACUGGUGAAAAAGAUCCUAAACGUCUCUCGGAGAUGCAAUAUCUUUCUUCAAGUAUGUGGAGGUUAUUAUGUAGAAACCCCCAGCUGGGUAAGCAAGACAAAAACGUGCCAGACUUUAAGCAAGAGGAUGUUAAAUUAGAUUGUCUUCCUCCUUUCUGAUAUUUAUAAAAAUUAAUACAUGCUUCUGGAAAAAUAUUAAUACAUAAAUAUAAAAUGGGAAAUGUAACAGGUCCCUUGCUCUCUUGCCCUUCAACACCCUCCCCUCUGUUAACAGUUUUGGUGUGUUUGGUUAGAUUUUUAGAAAGAGGCUUCAGCAGUCAAAGUUUUCUCUACGUACAAGCAAACUUGAAACUUCUCAGUCCCAGGAGAUUGGUACGAUCAAUCAUGGGAAAUGAGGUGGGGUAAGUGGGGAAGAACUCUCUCUCAAGUCUGUUCCAGCUUUCAAUGCAUGAAGAGAAAGACGUGGCUGCCCUUUAAAACACACGCACAGGCACACGCACACACUUUGCACUUGCAAAGGCUAUUUCAGUGACGCCUUCAGUAGCAUACUUAUUUCAGACUUUACAUGGAACCGUCUCAGAAGUACAGCAUGGACUGUGUAGUGGGCAUUCAAUGCCUGCCUGUUGAACACACUAUUCCAAGAGGGAACAACGGACCUUCGUCUGUGUGCUUCACUUUUUUGAACAACGAUUAGUAAAUAAACUCAUUACACAAACAUAGCACAAUAUACCUAAGCUUUCCAGUUUUACACUAAAGUUCCAGUUCUGUUGUUGUUUUCUUAAGUCUUCGAAUCCUGGCCUUCAGUAGUCCUGUCCCCCUCUAAAACUCAUUUACAAAAUGAUGCCAAACUGGUGUGAGUUGGGUAGGAGGGAACUGUUGAAUCCAUUAUUCUAUAUGGGCUCAGCUCAAAACCCAUAGACUAUGAAGCCUUGCCCAAGCGCCAUGACAAGGACUCUCUCCCUCUUUCCAACGCCUUCCCGCCUUGGUGAAAUACCUUUGUAUGCUGCUUAACACAGGUCUUUGUGGUGGAUGGUGGAGUUUAUGUACCAUCUAACAUAAUGUACGCAUUUUCUUGGUGUGCAGGCAUUGUCUCACUCAUUGUAGUAUUCUUGGCUCCACAUGGUACAACACCUUACCCAGAGAAGGCAUUUAAUAAAUAUUGAUUAAAUGGGCAGAUUGAAUAAGCCACAUCUUGAUUUCAAGGGAACCCCAGUUAGCUACAAAAUUAGAUUUUUCCUCCUGUUCAUAGCUACAUUUGCACAAUAAGCAACACUACUUUGAUUCUAUUUAAAAAUAAUGCUUUUUCAAAUCAAUAAAUUUCUUCAUCUGAAAAAUUUUGCUAAGUGAUUUGUAAAAUGGGAGACUAAGGACAUAUUUGAGUUUCCACAUAGGUGAAAACAAGCCUGAAUUUCCCAGGGAAAUUAUUUAAAACCCUUUGUUCAAAGCCAGUCACCAAGAACAGGAUGCUUUUUUUGGUUGAUGCUGAGAAUUUAAAACACCGUUCAGAAAGACAAGGAGGGUAAAAGAUACUUUCCUGGAAAUGACAUGGGCUCUGCCAAUCAGGCACUAUGUUUUUCUAGCACGCCACAUUUGGGGGGGAAAGGUGUAUUCAGAUGUAUCAAAGUCUCAGUGUGGUGACAUUAUAAAAUGUUACCUGGAGCUUCUCCACCCACAAAUAUCUGAAGAAACAAAGGGCAUCUGUUCAUUCUUAGAUGCUGCUCAACACCAACCUUGAGGUUUUGAAACCCUGUCUAUGUGAUUGUGACUGACUCAGAGGCUUUGGAAAGGUGUACUCCACCUAUUCAUGUGACAUCUCUAUGAAAUCUAGGAAGUAGAAGCAAUAAAUCUGCUCAUGACUGAUUCUGAUUCACACAAGUAUGUUCCAGGUGAGAAAGUAGGCAAACUUAGCAUUUAACUUUUCAUAUGUAGUCAGAAUAAAGGUGAGCUUCCCGAUCAAAGAAAGAUCGGACUACAUAAAGUUAUAAGUUAUGGAACAAUAUUUUAGGGUUUGAUAUUUAAGCCUGAAGUGUGGGUACUUCUAGAACACUGGAGCCAUUCUAAUAAAGCUUUCUGCUUCCUGGGAUCAGUUUUGACUUUCCCAUUACUAUUUUGGGGCCCACGUCUCUGAGUUGGACGAAAUGAGCACAGCUUACCCUAGGUUUUCUACUGCCCAGUGUGAAAGCAAAGCGUCAGUCCUUAUGCCAAUAUAUCUAUAUGUGUUUCCGCUUUAACGUUGUCGGGUUUCAUGGGAAGGGUAGAGGGGUUGUAGGUCACUCCCCCAUUGCCAUCUCCCUGCCCCCUCUCCUCACCCCCACCCACCAUCUUGAGCCAGCAGCAUAAGGAUGUGAUCCUCGGGUGGACACCACAAAUGACUGAUUACACCAGUCUAAAGGAUCAGCUUGGUGUAGGGUUACAGGGGUCCCUUUUUGUACCUCUCUUCUGGACUCUCUUCUCAUUGGACAGAGGACCCAGAAAGAAGAUGGCUGUAUCCACUGGUGGGGAGAUGAACCUGGCAUGAAUCUUUUGUGGCAGUUAGAAAUAUUGAGCUCUAGUAUUAAACAGCAGCUAGAAUCUCUCCCCGGAAAAUUGCAUACUCAAAUAGAAUUUAACUGAACAGGGGACACCCUUCUUGUUCAUCCAUAAAGAAUGUUCUCACCUGAGGUCUAUCCAGUUCUUGCAGGUAUUUCUUUGGUGAUAUAAUACCUUAACUCUGUUACAUCCUUCGGGUCAUGCCCGAGAUCUUUCUGAUCAUUUUUCAAAGCCACAUCAUGGUUUAUUUUUUUUUUUAAAGAUUUUAUUUAUUUAUUUGACAGAGAGAGACACAGCGAGAGCAGGAACACAAGCAGAGGGAGUGGGAGAGGGAGAAGCAGGCUUCCUGCUGAGCAGGGAGCCCGAUGCGGGGCUCGAUCCCAGAACCCUGGGAUCAUGACCUGAGCCGAAGGCAGACGCUUAACGACUGAGCCACCCAGGUACCCCCCACAUCCUGGUUUAAUGGCUGAUUCUUUUCCCUUCUCAGUUAUCACAGCCUGGUUCUUGUCUCUGAAAGGUCAGAAGCACCUAUUCCUAGUUAUUUAUGUGAGUGCUGGCAUUCACACUCAAGUAAGGGCUUGGGAGGGCUUUUCAGUUGUUUUUAUUUUGGAGGCACGCUCUCUGUUUCCUUCCCCCAGUUA